GUAGGUGAACCUGCGGAAGGAUCAUUAACACUAAACUCAAAAUAAUUAAACGCGUUAUCUCUCAACGACGCAAGUCGUAGCAGGCUAUGUCGCCGGCGCGGUGUUCGUGGUACUGGCUUUGGCAUACGCUGUAAGCUUGGAAUAACGCUUGAACGUUGAACGAUUUUUAGUGGUGUAUCCAUAGAUUUGGAGGGCUGUGAUGCUGGGGGAUCUUGGGAUUGGGCUGGAAUGGAGUUCGUUUGGAGCAGAA
This 250-nucleotide unclassified non-coding RNA is filed under the name plant metagenome. Its description in RNAcentral is "partial contains small subunit ribosomal RNA, internal transcribed spacer 1, and 5.8S ribosomal RNA". The record is from RNAcentral.